GUGGGGAAUCUUGCGCAAUGGGCGAAAGCCUGACGCAGCCAUGCCGCGUGGAUGAUGAAGGUCUUAGGAUUGUAAAAUCCUUUCACCGGUGAAGAUAAUGACUGUAGCCGGAGAAGAAGCCCCGGCUAACUUCGUGCCAGCAGCCGCGGUAAUACGAAGGGGGCUAGCGUUGCUCGGAUUUACUGGGCGUAAAGGGCGCGUAGGCGGACAUUUAAGUCAGGGGUGAAAUCCCGGGGCUCAACCUCGGAACUGCCUUUGAUACUGGGUGUCUUGAGUGUGAGAGAGGUGUGUGGAACUCCGGGUGUAGAGGUGAAAUUCGUAGAUAUUCGGAAGAACACCAGUGGCGAAGGCGACACACUGGCUCAUUACUGACGCUGAGGCGCGAAAGCGUGGGGAGCAAACAGGAUUAGAUACCCGGGUAGUCC
This 425-nucleotide ribosomal RNA is filed under the name uncultured bacterium. Its description in RNAcentral is "partial 16S ribosomal RNA". It matches the Rfam family "Bacterial small subunit ribosomal RNA", at positions 354 to 796 of the family's 1533-position model. The record is from RNAcentral.